RNAcentral lists this ribosomal RNA (433 nucleotides) under uncultured bacterium. RNAcentral's name for it is "partial 16S ribosomal RNA". It matches the Rfam family "Bacterial small subunit ribosomal RNA", at positions 29 to 507 of the family's 1533-position model. The record is from RNAcentral.
AGCGAACGCUGGCGGCAGGCUUAACACAUGCAAGUCGAGCGAGACCUUCGGGUCUAGCGGCGGACGGGUGAGUAACGCGUGGGAACGUGCCCUUCUCUACGGAAUAGCCCCGGGAAACUGGGAGUAAUACCGUAUACGCCCUUUGGGGGAAAGAUUUAUCGGAGAAGGAUCGGCCCGCGUUGGAUUAGGUAGUUGGUGGGGUAAUGGCCCACCAAGCCGACGAUCCAUAGCUGGUUUGAGAGGAUGAUCAGCCACACUGGGACUGAGACACGGCCCAGACUCCUACGGGAGGCAGCAGUGGGGAAUCUUAGACAAUGGGGGCAACCCUGAUCUAGCCAUGCCGCGUGAGUGAUGAAGGCCUUAGGGUUGUAAAGCUCUUUCAGCUGGGAAGAUAAUGACGGUACCAGCAGAAGAAGCCCCGGCUAACUCCGUG